GACGAACGCUGGCGGCGUGCUUAACACAUGCAAGUCGAACGGAAAGGCUCCAGCUUGCCGGAGUACUCGAGUGGCGAACGGGUGAGUAACACGUGGGUAAUCUGCCCUGCACUCUGGGAUAAGCCUGGGAAACUGGGUCUAAUACUGGAUAUGACCUUUCUCCUUAUGGGGUUUGGUGGAAAGUUUUUCGGUGUAGGAUGAGCCCGCGGCCUAUCAGCUUGUUGGUGGGGUGAUGGCCUACCAAGGCGACGACGGGUAGCCGGCCUGAGAGGGUGAUCGGCCACAUUGGGACUGAGAUACGGCCCAGACUCCUACGGGAGGCAGCAGUGGGGAAUAUUGCACAAUGGGCGGAAGCCUGAUGCAGCGACGCCGCGUGAGGGAUGACGGCCUUCGGGUUGUAAACCUCUUUCAGCAGGGACGAAGCGUAAGUGACGGUACCUGCAGAAGAAGCACCGGCUAACUACGUG
Molecule: ribosomal RNA, 467 nt
Filed under: uncultured bacterium
Lineage: Bacteria
Description: partial 16S ribosomal RNA
Rfam family: Bacterial small subunit ribosomal RNA
Source: RNAcentral